GUGUAGUUCCCAUUCGCUCUGGGUCAGCUAGCCUGAUCCAACUAGGGACCACGUGUGCAAGGAAGCAGGCUUUCCAAUGUGUGCUCCUCACCAGAUAGGGGAUGGUGCACUUAAAUGGCUGCUGCAUGCAUGAUUCACCAAUCAGGUCUGCGCAUAUGCAGUUCCAGGGCAAAAGCAGACCAGGCUUCGGGAUGAGAAGCAGGCACCAUCUGUUUAGUCUUCCCCCACUUUUUCCAGCCUGGGCAGCUGACUAGCUUUAUUCAGAGCUGCAUGUGUGCGUGGGCUUUAAUUGGGCCACUGCGUUCUGGGCCCACAGGAGCAUUCUGCCUCUAGUCUCAGAUGUAAUAUCUGAGGGUCUGUCAUGAAACAAGGUACUCUCUACAGCCGGUAGCAACUUACUUUAAAGAUCAAGAUUUGUUUCUGGAUCCAUUAACAGUGACAAGAUCCCAGGUAACUCAUGUACAGUGUUGCUAUAUAGUUCAACCACCUUAGGUGAUUUUCCUUCUUCUUUGCAGCCCUGUCUAGCUCAUGAUCUCAGUUAAACUAGCUCAGAUAUUUAGGAAGCAUGCCUCUUGCCAUCCAUGCAAAAGUCUGUUGGUCAUAUGUGGAAAUACCCAGGUCACUCUUGGGGCAGCAAUUAAGUGUGUUGGGACAGUGGAGGAUGCCUAGGUUCACUCAGCAAUGAAGUUUGCAGGGUGACUUGAGGCCAGUCAUUUUCUCUCACCCUAAUUUGCAUCUCAGGAAUGUGAGGAAGAAAAUGGAAUAAGCCCACAUAUACUGAGCUCCUUGGAGGAAUGGCAGGAUAUAAAUAAAAUAAAUACACCCAUGAGAACAUGCUUCCAGGGGUUUCUGGGAGUGCUCUCAUGGGCAACCAGUUUAUUCAGUGAGCCAGCUCAAUGGGCCAGAACCAUGAGAUAUGUGAAUGAGGCAUGUAUCUUCAAAGAUGGUUUCUGGGACUUUUCCCACAGUUCAUGGAUCUUAUACUUUCUGCCGACAAUUCUAGCACUGUAAAUAAAGUACACUGUUCAUCCACUUUUUCUACUAAUGACCACAUUUAAAUGCCAGUGGGCCAUUAGUAGAAAGACACCUUGCUGCCCACACCCAGUGAAAUUUUGGGUUAGUCCUUACUAACUAAAAGUUAAUGAGAUUGCAAUUAUUUCCGCUUCUAAUGCCUAUUCAGUGCCUCUUGACUAUUUGGCAGGUAAUAUAAAUCUUACUUGCCGCCAAGUAUGUGUAGCUACCAUACUUUAUUCAAUAGCAUUUCUACUGAGGAUCUGGAAACCCCUGGUUCCAGAACUAAAAGGAACAUUCCAUAUUUUAUAACCUUGAUACAUAAUAUAGGAAGUAAACACCAGAGUGUUAAUAGCACAACUACAUAUUGCCUUAAUCUACCUGGACAUAAUCAAGCCAAACUUGAGUAUUAAACAAAAAACACAACUGAGCAGUUUAAGCAUGUAAUUAAGUAUUGAAUGAUUACAUAAGUGCUUAGGUUUGGCUGAUUCAUGCCCUCUGCCUCUUUCUGGUUCCAUGAAUGCAGUGCUUUUUUAUUAUUAUUAUUAUUAUUAAAAAAACAAUGUGCCAGUAUUCAUAAAUUGAUAAAAGUGCUGUGGGUGCCAGCACAAAAUGGCUGCCAUGGGCAGCAAAGAAAAGAGAGGUGCUGGUGCUCCAAACCAGUCAGUACUGUCACAAAAAAGCCCUGCAUGAAUGUAUUUCAAUUUCUCUGCUCCAGCAGGAAUAACCACCCAAAAAUGUACUGUAGCAUCUCCUAUGCAGUCUUCCAAGAUGAAAGCUCAUUUGGUCUGAAGUCUUCUGAUUUUCUUGUGGUUCUGUUUGCCCAACCUUUGGUUCCAAAACAAAUUCUGUCAUACCUGUAGCAGCUUUCUACCUUGUUUCGCUCCACCCCAGCACCUUCUAAUCUUGUAUUCCAUCCUGCUCAGAUGAUUUCUCUUUGCUUAGCCACAGAAAUCUGGGGAUUCAACCAUUUCAACUCAAUAGCCUUCUUCUCUUCAGCUGAGGGCAAGUGCGGGCAACAUUUUGCCCUCCAGAUGUUACUCAGCUACAAUUAGCCUCAGCAAGCACAGCCACUGGGUAGAGAUGAUGGGACAACAUCUGGAGGGCAAAAGGUUCCCCACACCUGGCUUAGGGGGAAAAUGCAGGCUGCAAUCCUAUACACACACACUUAUCUGGGACAAAGCCUGAAUUAAUUCAGUGGGACUUCUGAGUAGACCUGUAUAGGAUUGUGCGGUUAGUGGAUUAUUAAACAUUUAAGCAAGAGAACCAGUACUGCCAAUGACUGUGGGAAAUGGCAGUUGCAUCCUCUGAUAGUGAUACGUAGGUGUUAUUUGGAAUAAAGAACAAUGUUGCUGGGACAAUCCACACAAGUAGGGGUCAGUAUGCAACUUAUACAGAGCAAUUCCUUGAGUGAAAAUGUAGCAAGUGCUGAAGAAUAUAGGUACGGUAAGGAGCCUAAAAUAGACAUUUUUUCUCUCUUGACUAAAACAAGCCCCAAUGGCUGUCUUUAUUCAGACCUUAGAAUCACAGAAUUCUAGUCCAACCCCCUGCAAUGCAGGAAUCUUUCACCCAAGUUUCAUGCUCUAUUGACUGAGCUUGUUCAUGAGAAAAGCACAGAAUUGAGUGAUUGAAAUAAACAUUAGCAUUUGCAUUUGGGAGAUACUUUGUGUGUUGUGUUUCAUUGCUUUUGCUGAAAGACAAUGUUCCACUGCUCCCCAGACAUUAAAGCACUGAUUCUUAACUAAUGUGCAUGUGUGUCAAUAGGUAAGUUGUGACAAUUGUAAAUACUAGCAGUCCUGUGUUCACAUUUUCUUGUCAGGUUCUCUUAUCAAACUAGUCCUGAGUCAAUUAUUUUCUGAAAGCUGUGUUCCUUCUUGUCUUAGAGGGGUCUUACAAAACAUUAGCACAGAGUAUAUUCGUCCAUACUUGCAAAACAUGCGUAAAAACUACGUUUACUUGGGACAAGUGCUUAAAUGCUCUCUUUUUCCAAUGACAUAUCAGUCCCUACCCAAUCUAACAUCAAAAUCCCCCACUCAAGGAAAGUUGUUUGUAAGAAAAAAUAAAAUUGGGACAAUAUUUAUUUAUUCUAAUCACAGGCCAAGGUGGUGCUAUGCAGUUCCCAGGCAGUCACCCACCCAGGCGCUGACCAGACUCAGAGCUGCUUAGCCAUCUGUAUAAUGCAUGAUGUUAGCAUGGGCUAAAAUCCAUUCCUGGGUGAUACCUGAGCUAGACAAAAGCAUAUACAAUUUCCACAUUGAGAUUGUAUUUCUAACCCAGGAUAUUCACUGAGAUUCACCAAUGCUAUUGGACAAAUAUAGCCCUCGGCUUGUUUUAAGCAAUGUAGAAAAUCAAAGCUUUCACAUGGUUUGGCCAUUAGCAAGGCAAAAUUAAGUGUGCUUUCAUGGAAACAGAACACAUGCUAGGAAAAAAAUCCAUCUUUUCUCUUUCUCCUUCUCCAGUCAAGUAAUAAUGUAAUGGUAUGUUGAAUAUUUUGAUGGUUUUUGUUCACGAGGAAUAAUGAUUAAAUGAGUGAAGAAUGGGAUAUGUUCUUGCUGCAUUUCAGCCAUUUUGCUAGGCUAUGGCAUGUCUCGAGUGAUGUCUACUUAGCGGAAAGCAACGCAUGUUCUGGGAAUUGUUGCUUCUGUAGCAGUUGGAGGGUUCAAAGGUGAAAUGGAAGCAAGCAUUCCAUUCUAGAACCCUUGGGAAAGGGGAGGAAAGAAGGAGGGGAGGAAAGUUGGGCUAAGUAGGAAAAGUAAAGGCAUGUGAGAGCAGGGAAGUAUUAGAUGUGAUGUGUGAGAGGGGGAGAUAGUAAAAUUAAGUAAAACAAGCCAGUCUUCUUCACUCUUUAGGGUGUAAACAGUGGUGGAAGGAUGCACCAGGGGCAAAGAGCAAAUACAUUCUUAAAGAAAGUCAGUUGCAGCCUCUCUGGUCUAGAUUUGGAGAUCAUCUUAUGCAGGAGUGGGCUGCAGAUUCACUCCCCUACUUCACAAAUUGGUGAUAAGCAGAGUCAGCCGUACAGCACUAUACGUAAUGAAUUGUGACGGGUAGGGACCCAAGACCUCCUGAUAUUGCUGGAAUACAAUCGCCAUCAACACUGACCAAUAAGCCCAUGUGUCAGAAAGCCAGCUCUAAAGAUCAUGUAAUGUAUGUGGUACAGUCCUCCCAGGACUUACCCACCUCAAAUGAAACUGUACUAUUCCAUGUUUUCAUGCUCACCCAUGUCAAACACAUUAAUGCACAUGGAAAGCUAAGCACGCCGAGGAUAAACUUUGUUCCAUGCAGUGAGGUGGUUAUUUCUUCCUUUCAGUCAUAACAUCUGAGCAUAUAAUAAAACGUAAAAUCUAGAUUCAGCAAGUGAGUCCUGUCAAUGGAAGCCCUAAGGGCUUCCACAAUGGGGCUUGCUUCCCAGGGCACACUGCGAAAUUGGCUCAGGGGAGGAGAAGCUAGAUUGUGCCAUUUGGAAAGGCAAAAGGCUUGAUGGAACAAUCGCCUUAGCAUUUACAUUGAUUGUGUAGCUACUUGGAUCUCAUGUGGCUAUCAGUGAUACAAAAGCAGUUGAAAACGGCUAGGCUGCAAACGUAUCACAUUAAAUAUUGGAUUAAUAGAGCAGAAUUUGGGCACUAGAUAUUAGUAAUGAAAUAUCCACGCAAUCAUGGGUUUUAAUGGUUAAGUCGCCAAAUGUUUAACCUCAAAAGCAAAAGCUCUAUUUUCAGCAGCUUUCCCCCCAUCCCAUUCAAUCUUGUACUUUGCAGGCUUUUUUAAAAAAAUAAUAAUGAGUUAUUCUAACAAAACCCGUAAACCUACAGUGUGGUCUAGUGGUAGUCAAAGAAGGCUUUCUUUACACACAGAAGCUCCAAUGUGUAUCGGUCCCUAAUUCAAAUUUUGUUGUUAGGAAAUCAAUUUACCUAUUUUUUAAAUGUCUGCUGUUAAGCUCAAUAAAAUCAUAGCUGUUGAAUAC
Podarcis raffonei (Aeolian wall lizard) is the source of this 4969-nucleotide long non-coding RNA. RefSeq lists it as uncharacterized. Lineage: Eukaryota; Metazoa; Chordata; Lepidosauria; Squamata; Lacertidae. The record is from RefSeq and is a predicted model, not a curated record. The transcript has 2 exons.